This is a long non-coding RNA of Homo sapiens (human), 1869 nucleotides long. Ensembl annotates it as small nucleolar RNA host gene 14. Its record names the gene SNHG14. NCBI's taxonomy places the organism in Eukaryota, Metazoa, Chordata, Mammalia, Primates, Hominidae. The record is from Ensembl.
GAGUUCCCAUGGUACUUGGGUAGCAUCAGGGGCAGGCAGCCAUGAGGUGGGUGGUGAGCUGAUUUGCUUUCUGCAGAGGAGCCCAGGGAGGGUAUCCACAUUGAACUCGUAUGUCCAUAGGAGGAAACCCAAGUCCUUUGGUCCCUGCAGUGUACUGGUGGUGGGAAGGGGAGAGGGCUGUGCAUGCAUGUACCAAGCGACAUUCCAUGUGGGUCGUGGAGCAAUGACUAUGAGCCUCUUUUGGGAGUUGUAGGGUGCCCAUGCUCCAUUUCAUGAUGACCUUGGGGUGCUGGGAUGGGAAUGAGAUUGCAAGUCCCUGUGUUCCUGCCACUUCGCAGACUGACUUGGUUUGAGAGAUCUGUGUUCAGGAACCCCUGUGGGAUGCUUGUCUGUGUUAGGCAUUUGAGCAGAUAUUGGCCCAGGGUUUCUACCCUUCCAUGGUUGUACAUACUGCUGGAAGGGCUUGUUGCUCCCUCUGUAUUGAUGAGGGGAAGUUUUGCCCAGGAGAGCCUGAUGCCAUUUGCUUCUGAACUGCUCAGGCACUUCAAUGCAGUUGAGGUUAAGAGUGUGUCACUUCCCAUGUCGUGGUAGCAUCUACUCAGAAAAGUGACCCGUCAAGGUCUCUGCACUUAAAUUCUCCAUUAUCUUAUGAUGUUAGGUUAUUUUCAAAUUCCUCCUAAUUCUUCACAACAGUCCUCUUUGUGAAACAGUCAUGAAGUUGUAUGAGGGCUGUCAUCCACAGGCCAGUGAUGGAGAGUUUUGUACUCUGUGGCCAUGUUCACAGGCAAGUGGCUUAAGACGUAUCGUGUUCUCAGGGACAGCACCAUAGAAGCCCUGUAGGAUUCAGCAUGUCUGAUGCUUUUCUGGUUCCCUGAGCUGCACCUGUGAGGAAGGCCAGAGGUGGAGGUUGAUGUGUGAUUGAAUGUGUUUCUCAAUGCAAAGUGUGUGGAAGGAGCUUCAAGGCCGAAGGAAAGUUGUUCUUUGUGCUGGAACACUUUUUCCCUGCAGCUCUCCCCAUUGAAAUAUCCUCAUGGCUGUUGUCUUCUCUGAUGGCCAAGAGAAUGGCUUUUGAGUCAGGGGUGGUGAAAGUGUGGUAUUGAGAGAAUUCUUCGCGCUUAGUGUUCUCUAGUUUGAUGGUGCCCUUGAAAUGCAUGCCUGCCUUAUACCUUCAUGCCUGGGUAUAUCUGUGCAUAAGUCCCCAAAGAGAGGUCACCCAUGGGAGGUAGAUAUAGAAUACAGCAUGGCAGGAGGAAUGGCAUGGCCCUUGCAAACUGUGUACCUGCCUGCCUUUCUCAAGCACACCUGUUUUUCCUCUGCACUUCCCAGGUGGCAUGGGCAUGCAAAGAAAGACAGAGGCUGCAAGGGAUAAACUUCAUCUUGGGAGAUCCCUGGAGAUGGCAGGGAACCCAUGGACACAUGUGGCAUGGGCUCCUUUGGGUGCCGGUGGAUCCCUUCAUACGGUAAAGCCAGAGUUGGGUAUCAACCAGAUACACUGCAGGGGAUCAGAGGACAUGGCCUUUGUGUACUGCACAUCUGUCAGAUUUUCUCAAGCACACCCGUGUUUCCUCUUCACCUCCCACGUGGAAGUGAUGAAUUGGCCAGGACCAUGUUGGUGAGGGACAAUCAUCAUCUCAUGUUAACCUCAGAGAAGCCAGGAAGCUCCUGGACACACAUGGUGUAGGCUUCCUUGGAGGCUGUUGGAUCUCUCCUGAAUGUAAGCAAUUCCUUCCCAGUGCACCCUGAUUUUCCUCAUUUGCAGAAACAAAGAUUGUGUGUGGAUCGAUGAUGACUUCCAUAUAUACAUUCCUUGGAAAGCUGAACAAAAUGAGUGAAAACUCUAUACCGUCAUUCUCGUCGAACUGAGGUCCA